AUUGAACGCUGGCGGCAUGCCUUACACAUGCAAGUCGAACGGCAGCACGGGUGCUUGCACCUGGUGGCGAGUGGCGAACGGGUGAGUAAUACAUCGGAACGUACCUUAUCGUGGGGGAUAACGCAGCGAAAGUUGCGCUAAUACCGCAUACGCCCUGAGGGGGAAAGCGGGGGACCGUAAGGCCUCGCGCGAUUAGAGCGGCCGAUGUCUGAUUAGCUUGUUGGUGAGGUAAAAGCUCACCAAGGCGAUGAUCAGUAGCUGGUCUGAGAGGACGAGCAGCCACACUGCGACUGAGACACGGCCCAGACGCCUACGGGAGGCAGCAGUGGGGAAUUUUGGAGAAUGGGGGCAACCCUGAUCCAGCAAUGCCGCGUGAGUGAAGAAGGCCUUCGGGUUGUAAAGCUCUUUUGUCAGGGAAGAAACAGCAGCUCUAACACAGUCUGCGAAUGACGGUACCUGAAGAAUAAGCACCGGCUAACUACGUGCCAGCCGCCGCGGUAA
This 501-nucleotide ribosomal RNA is filed under the name uncultured bacterium. RNAcentral describes it as "partial 16S ribosomal RNA". It matches the Rfam family "Bacterial small subunit ribosomal RNA", at positions 30 to 523 of the family's 1533-position model. The record is from RNAcentral.